Populus euphratica (Euphrates poplar) is the source of this 1030-nucleotide long non-coding RNA. RefSeq lists it as uncharacterized. The transcript has 2 exons. NCBI's taxonomy places the organism in Eukaryota, Viridiplantae, Streptophyta, Magnoliopsida, Malpighiales, Salicaceae. The record is from RefSeq and is a predicted model, not a curated record.
UUAUAGCAAUAUAUAAGUUUGAUUGUUGGCGGAAAGCAGAAGAUGAUUUGAGAUUUUUUCUGCAGGUGGUGUUGUAAGCAGUUACAGAAUCCGCUGAAAGUGUUGCUGGAUGUAGACACGGCUGAAGAUUUGUUGUGUGAGCUGUGGUGUAGCAUGUUAUGUGUAAUUUGUUGGCGGAGAAGGACAGGAAGGAGAUGAUGCUGGUGUUGGUGUUCGAUUUAUUUAUGAGGAUGAUGUAUAAGAUAUAUAUCGGGACCAGAAGGCCAAGAGGCCAAGGUCUUGUUUAUUAUCUUUGUCAUCCGACCUUUGCCAUGACAGGUGCGCUUGCAUGGCAGGUCAACCACUAUCUUAAUAAAAUAAUCAUUUUCGUGUUUGGAGGGGAGAUCGCACGGGGAUUUCCCGGGUUCUCUCCUCUAGUCUCUGUGUCCCGCUUUCUCUUCUCUUUGCCUUACAAUCCAUGGCUAACCUUGAUAGCGCGGCCCGACUCCAGCUAGCAAUCAAUUCAUCCAUGGCAGGAUAUUGCAAUUUGUGACGGUGACCCGAAGACCUUGGGGCUGGAUUUAAGUGGCUCUUACAUAGUCUUGUGAUUUGCAAUGGGAUCUUCUUGUUUGGUUCUCUGGGUGUGAGUGAUUUGGCCUAAGUAUGUUAGCGUUGAAGAUGGAUUUGUAAUCCUCAGUGGGCGAUCCACGUUUGUAAAGACCGUUUAUUAAGACCCCGUGCUGCUGAGCUUCAAUGAUCAUGACGAUGGCUUCAAAGGAUGACAGGAAGCUCAGGAGGUCCUCACACGAUUCUCAAUUGAGCCACACAAUUUUGAGGUGAUAAGUUCUUCAAUGGUUUACUAUUCCACCUGAAAGAAAAAUAAAACACUCAAUUAAAUUGUUAUGAAGUGUCAUUCAGUUUAAAACCCGCGCUGCUAUGGUUUCUUACUUGUUUUAGCUGGAGAUGUAGUAAUCUACUGAAGUCUCUUCUAUUUUACGUGCUGUUCUAUUAUAAUGCUCAUAAUUAUCCUCCUUCGUUAUUUUGAAGAAAA